ACAUCGAUGGUGAAACGGUAUCAUGCUUGCCUUCCAUUGCUGUGAGCAAGCGGCACGGGUUCGACUCCCGUUCGAUGUA
Molecule: transfer RNA, 79 nt
Filed under: Pleurotus ostreatus (oyster mushroom)
Lineage: Eukaryota; Fungi; Basidiomycota; Agaricomycetes; Agaricales; Pleurotaceae
Also listed under: 1 other name
Rfam family: tRNA
About the family: Transfer RNA (tRNA) molecules are approximately 80 nucleotides in length. Their secondary structure includes four short double-helical elements and three loops (D, anti-codon, and T loops).
Source: Rfam by way of RNAcentral